This 494-nucleotide ribosomal RNA is filed under the name uncultured bacterium. RNAcentral describes it as "partial 16S ribosomal RNA". It matches the Rfam family "Bacterial small subunit ribosomal RNA", at positions 28 to 507 of the family's 1533-position model. The record is from RNAcentral.
GACGAACGCUGGCGGCGUGCUUAACACAUGCAAGUCGAACGGAAAGGCCUGCUUUCCCUUGUGGAUUGCGGGUACUCGAGUGGCGAACGGGUGAGUAACGCGUGAGUGAUCUGCCCCCAACUUGGGUAUAAGCCUGGGAAACUGGGUCUAAUUCCCGAUAGGACUGCAGGGUGGUGCCUGUGGUGGAAAACGAUUUUCUAGUGGUUGGGGAUGAGCUCGCGGCCUAUCAGCUUGUUGGUGGGGUAAUGGCCUACCAAGGCGGCGACGGGUAGCCGGCCUGAGAGGGUGGACGGCCACAUUGGGACUGAGAUACGGCCCAGACUCCUACGGGAGGCAGCAGUGGGGAAUAUUGCACAAUGGGCGGAAGCCUGAUGCAGCGACGCCGCGUGGGGGAUGACGGCCUUCGGGUUGUAAACUCCUUUCGACCGCGAGGAAGCCACCUGGUUGGAAGGGUGGUGACGGUAGUGGUAGAAGAAGCACCGGCUAACUACGUG